Molecule: long non-coding RNA, 257 nt
Filed under: Jatropha curcas
Lineage: Eukaryota; Viridiplantae; Streptophyta; Magnoliopsida; Malpighiales; Euphorbiaceae
Description: long non-coding RNA (JCUR_LNC001795)
Source: RNAcentral
UUUGUUGCAUAAUUGUAUAUUUGGAUGGAUUUGGUGUAAUACGUUGAAAGAAUUGUUUGAAUAAUUGUGCUGUGCAUAGAUUGUGAUUUGUUUGUGUGGAAUUGGGAUGAAGUGGGUCACCAUGGGACUGUGAGACCGUACCGUUAUAUGGAUCCAAUAUGAUUACCGUUAGCCGGGUAAAUGGGAGAUCGGCGCCCCCGUGUGCACCUACCGUUACCGUUACCGUUAACCACGGGUUGGCUUCUCGUCGUUNNNNN